AGUGAACGCUGGCGGUAGGCCUAACACAUGCAAGUCGAACGGCAGCACAGUAAGAGCUUGCUCUUACGGGUGGCGAGUGGCGGACGGGUGAGGAAUACAUCGGAAUCUACUUUUUCGUGGGGGAGAACGUAGGGAAACUUACGCUAAUACCGCAUACGACCUACGGGUGAAAGUAGGGGAUCUUCGGACCUUGCGCGAUUGAAUGAGCCGAUGUCGGAUUAGCUAGUUGGCGGGGUAAAGGCCCACCAAGGCGACGAUCCGUAGCUGGUCUGAGAGGAUGAUCAGCCACACUGGAACUGAGACACGGUCCAGACUCCUACGGGAGGCAGCAGUGGGGAAUAUUGGACAAUGGGCGCAAGCCUGAUCCAGCCAUGCCGCGUGGGUGAAGAAGGCCUUCGGGUUGUAAAGCCCUUUUGUUGGGAAAGAAAAGCAGCAGGUUAAUACCCCGCUGUUCUGACGGUACCCAAAGAAUAAGCACCGGCUAACUUCGUG
RNAcentral lists this ribosomal RNA (492 nucleotides) under uncultured bacterium. RNAcentral describes it as "partial 16S ribosomal RNA". It matches the Rfam family "Bacterial small subunit ribosomal RNA", at positions 29 to 507 of the family's 1533-position model. The record is from RNAcentral.